CGUGGGUAACCUGCCUGUAAGACUGGGAUAACUCCCGGGAAACCGGAGCUAAUACCGGAUAGUUCCUUGAACCGCAUGGUUCAAGGAUGAAAGACGGUUUCGGCUGUCACUUACAGAUGGACCCGCGGCGCAUUAGCUAGUUGGUGGGGUAAUGGCUCACCAAGGCGACGAUGCGUAGCCGACCUGAGAGGGUGAUCGGCCACACUGGGACUGAGACACGGCCCAGACUCCUACGGGAGGCAGCAGUAGGGAAUCUUCCGCAAUGGACGAAAGUCUGACGGAGCAACGCCGCGUGAGUGAUGAAGGUUUUCGGAUCGUAAAGCUCUGUUGUUAGGGAAGAACAAGUGCGAGAGUAACUGCUCGCACCUUGACGGUACCUAACCAGAAAGCCACGGCUAACUACGUGCCAGCAGCCGCGGUAAUACGUAGGUGGCAAGCGUUGUCCGGAAUUAUUGGGCGUAAAGGGCUCGCAGGCGGUUUCUUAAGUCUGAUGUGAAAGCCCCCGGCUCAACCGGGGAGGGUCAUUGGAAACUGGGAAACUUGAGUGCAGAAGAGGAGAGUGGAAUUCCACGUGUAGCGGUGAAAUGCGUAGAGAUGUGGAGGAACACCAGUGGCGAAGGCGACUCUCUGGUCUGUAACUGACGCUGAGGAGCGAAAGCGUGGGGAGCGAACAGGAUWAGAUACSCUGGUAGUCCACGCCGUAAACGAUGWGUGCUAAGUGUUAGGGGGUUUCCGCCCCUUAGUGCUGCAGCUAACGCAUUAAGCACUCCGCCUGGGGAGUACGGUCGCAAGACUGAAACUCAAAGGAAUUGACGGGGGCCCGCACAAGC
This 830-nucleotide ribosomal RNA is filed under the name Bacillus sp. AY-2011-RS06. RNAcentral's name for it is "bacterial SSU rRNA". It matches the Rfam family "Bacterial small subunit ribosomal RNA", at positions 116 to 930 of the family's 1533-position model. Lineage: Bacteria; Bacillati; Bacillota; Bacilli; Caryophanales; Bacillaceae. The record is from RNAcentral.